AUCCAGCUGAUGAGUCCCAAAUAGGAUGAUGUGUGCGUCCCGGAU
Molecule: non-coding RNA, 45 nt
Organism: Schistosoma margrebowiei
Lineage: Eukaryota; Metazoa; Platyhelminthes; Trematoda; Strigeidida; Schistosomatidae
Source: Rfam